UACAGAGGGUGCGAGCGUUAAUCGGAAUUACUGGGCGUAAAGCGUGCGUAGACGGUUUCGUAAGUCGGGUGUGAAAUCCCCGGGCUCAACCUGGGAAUUGCAUUCGAAACUGCGAGGCUAGGGUACGGAAGAGGGAAGCGGAAUUUCUGGUGUAGCGGUGAAAUGCGUAGAGAUCGGAAAGAACACCAACGGCGAAAGCGCUCUGCUGGGCCGACACUGACACUAAGAGACGAAAGCUAGGGGAGCGAAUGGG
Molecule: ribosomal RNA, 253 nt
Filed under: uncultured bacterium
Lineage: Bacteria
Description: partial 16S ribosomal RNA
Rfam family: Bacterial small subunit ribosomal RNA
Source: RNAcentral